UACGUAGGGAGCGAGCGUUGUCCGGAUUCAUUGGGCGUAAAGAGCUCGUAGGCGGCUCAGUAAGUCAGAUGUGAAACCCUCAGGCUCAACCUGAGGUCGCCAUCUGAUACUGCUGUGGCUAGAGCCCGGUAGGGGUACACGGAAUUCCUGGUGUAGCGGUGAAAUGCGCAGAUAUCAGGAGGAACACCAGUGGCGAAGGCGGUGUACUGGGCCGGUGCUGACGCUGAGGAGCGAAAGCGUGGGGAGCGAACAGG
This 254-nucleotide ribosomal RNA is filed under the name uncultured Ferrithrix sp. Its description in RNAcentral is "partial 16S ribosomal RNA". It matches the Rfam family "Bacterial small subunit ribosomal RNA", at positions 524 to 776 of the family's 1533-position model. The record is from RNAcentral. Lineage: Bacteria; Bacillati; Actinomycetota; Acidimicrobiia; Acidimicrobiales; Acidimicrobiaceae.